This 262-nucleotide long non-coding RNA is filed under the name Parus major (Great Tit). Its description in RNAcentral is "lncRNA (ENSPMJG00000017830.1)". The record is from RNAcentral. Lineage: Eukaryota; Metazoa; Chordata; Aves; Passeriformes; Paridae.
AUAGGGAUUCCCACCUCUUCUGUUAAAACGCUGCAUGGUGCACAGAAACAAAUGAAGUUCUUCUCCAUGAGAAUUGGACCCAAAAACCUGUAGCCUUUUACAAAAAUUACCCUGCUACAAGCCUUCCCCAACUACUUACAUUUGCAGUUGUGCAAUGUCCUCUCCUCAGAAGGAAAUCAUCCAAUUAGACUAACAGCUGCAGAGAUUGUAACAAGCCUUGCAUAUUAGAAAAUUAAAGAAAAUGCAGCUGAGUAUGGAAAGG